This 442-nucleotide ribosomal RNA is filed under the name uncultured bacterium. RNAcentral describes it as "partial 16S ribosomal RNA". It matches the Rfam family "Bacterial small subunit ribosomal RNA", at positions 338 to 795 of the family's 1533-position model. The record is from RNAcentral.
CCUACGGUGGACAGCAGUGGGGAAUAUUGCUCAAUGGGCGAAAGCCUGACGCAGCAACGCCGCGUGAAGGAAGAAGGCUUUCGGGUUGUAAACUCCUUUUAAGAGGGAAGAGUAGAAGACGGUAUCUCUUGAAUAAGCCACGGCUAACUACGUGCCAGCAGCCGCGGUAAUACGUAGGUCGCAAGCGUUGUCCGGAUUUACUGGGUGUAAAGGGCGUGUAGCCGGGCCGGCAAGUGAGAUGUGAAAUCCCAAGGCUUAACCUUGGAACUGCAUUUGAAACUGUUGGUCUUGAGUAUCGGAGAGGCAGGCGGAAUUCCUGGUGUAGCGGUGAAAUGCGUAGAGAUUAGGAGGAACACCAGUGGCGAAGGCGGCCUGCUGGACGACAACUGACGGUGAGGCGCGAAAGCGUGGGGAGCAAACAGGAUUAGAUACCCGGGUAGUC